Molecule: ribosomal RNA, 492 nt
Filed under: uncultured bacterium
Lineage: Bacteria
Description: partial 16S ribosomal RNA
Rfam family: Bacterial small subunit ribosomal RNA
Source: RNAcentral
AGUGAACGCUGGCGGUAGGCCUAACACAUGCAAGUCGAACGGCAGCACAGUAAGAGCUUGCUCUUACGGGUGGCGAGUGGCGGACGGGUGAGGAAUACAUCGGAAUCUACUUUUUCGUGGGGGAUAACGUAGGGAAACUUACGCUAAUACCGCAUACGACCUACGGGUGAAAGCAGGGGAUCUUCGGACCUUGCGCGAUUGAAUGAGCCGAUGUCGGAUUAGCUAGUUGGCGGGGUAAAGGCCCACCAAGGCGACGAUCCGUAGCUGGUCUGAGAGGAUGAUCAGCCACACUGGAACUGAGACACGGUCCAGACUCCUACGGGAGGUAGCAGUGGGGAAUAGUGGACAAUGGGCGCAAGCCUGAUCCAGCCAUACCGCGUGGGUGAAGAAGGCCUUCGGGUUGUAAAGCCCUUUUGUUGGGAAAGAAAAGCAGCAGGUUAAUAUCCCGCUGUUCUGACGGUACCCAAAGAAUAAGCACCGGCUAACUUCGUG